GAGCAACAAAGAGAAAGUGGCCCUGUGAUAAGCCACCUGAGGGCUUGGCUGGACAAGGGAGCUUGGACCGUCCCACCAUCACCUGCCCCCGUGGGCCUGUUGAACUCUGAUCUCUCCUUCAAGCCUCCUUCCGAUGCUACUUCUGAAACUGAGGCCACUUGUGGUCUGGGAGCCUCACUUGCAGGGGUGAGGGAUGUUGGGACUGUUAGGUGGAACUGAAGUCUGGUAGGGCAGACCAGGUGGGCAGGUGGCAGCCCUCCUCUCCUGCCUUCAACCUGGGUGAGAAGGUGGCCCCCAGGCAGUCCUGCCCUGAUCUGGCCACCUCCCUCCACCCUCCAGCUCCCAGAUUCUGAGCUCCUCUUUGGCUUUGGGGCAGUCCUUAUCUGCACAGUAGAUAGAGAGCUCAGCUCGUGGGCACUGGACCCCCCGCCAAGUCCCUUCCCAGACCUCGCGGAGCUGCUCAGGCAUUGUCCAGGGAAGUCAGACCCAGACCUGACGUUAACAGGAGCAGGUGUGGACUGUCAGUGCUGGCCUUCCCAAGGGUCCCACCCAAUGACCAACAGCUAGAGAUUUACAGAGCCUGGAACCCAGAAAGUGACCUAGGCACAGGACAUGGGAGAGGACAGAGAAGGACAAACAGUGUCAGAGAUGGGUGGAUAGGUGGGAUAGUGAUACAGAGACAGGAUGAGAGAGACGCACAGAGACAGAGAUGUCAGAGACACACAGGAGGCAAAGGCCUGGGUUCAGUGACACACAGCGAUGGACUGAGGGAUGCAGAGGGCACAGCACACACUCCGGUGGCUCCUGCGUUGAGCUGGUCCCUGGCCCUCUCCUUACCCCCGUGACUCUUAGACCUAGAGUGUGUGCCUCCAAACGUGACCUCAGGGCUUUGCUGGGCUCAACAUCCAUCUCUCUACCCCCUCCUUCCUAACUGGUCCACAUUCUACUGAGUCUAAAGCAUGCCUCCUCCUCCAGGAAGCCAUGUGAAUUGCAGAAUAACAUGGAAUUUGUCCAGGAAGCCACUGGAAAAUCCAGAGCAGGGGACAGCCAUGGGCAGAACUGUGCCAACGUGUGGCUCACAGACGGGCAGGGUCAGCGUCCUCUGGGAGCUCGCUAGAGAGGCAGAUGUUGGCCCCUAUCCCACACCAACCGAAUCUCGAUGGGGCCCCAGAACCUGCAUGGUGAUAGGCUGUCCCAGUCAUCCAGAUGCAGCCUAAAGUGUUAGAAGCAUUGUGGGAGUCUCCAUAGGCUAUGUUGAGAAAACAGAGAGAAAGUGGGGCUGGGGGACUGGGUGAGAGACUUUUAUGAUCAUCCAGGAGAGAAUGUGGCCAUUUAACACACUUUUACUUAGUGACGGGGGUGUGCCAGGUGCUGGGCUGAGUUUUGGGGGAAUACAAGGUCUGCCUUAGGGUGAGGCUGUGGGAAAGCAGGGGAAGGAACAGAAGUGAGAGAAAUAGAGCAGGCAGAGUCCACAGGAUAAGGUUGGAAGUUUGGGGGAAAGGAAGAGAGAUGUCAUGUACAGUUGUGCAGGUUGGCUACUGUACAAAGGCACCCAAGAAAGGUGAUGAGUAGGAGCUGAGUUGGCUGAAAAGAGGGGUACACCAAGGCAUAGAGGGUUUCCUGUAAGAAAGGAGGGUCAGAAGUGAUGUUCACCCUUAAAACAAAAAUAGGCCGGGCGCGGUGGCUCAGGCCUGUAAUCCCAGCACUUUGGGAGGCCGAGGCGGGCGGAUCAUGAGGUCAGGAGAUCGAGACCAUCCUG
This 1759-nucleotide long non-coding RNA is filed under the name Homo sapiens (human). RNAcentral describes it as "HSALNT0291393". Lineage: Eukaryota; Metazoa; Chordata; Mammalia; Primates; Hominidae. The record is from RNAcentral.